UACGUAGGGUGCAAGCGUUGUCCGGAAUUAUUGGGCGUAAAGGGCUCGUAGGCGGUUCGUCACGUCGGGAGUGAAAACUCGGAGCUUAACUCCGAGCCUGCUUCCGAUACGGGCAGACUAGAGGUAGGCAGGGGAGAGCGGAACUCCUGGUGUAGCGGUGGAAUGCGCAGAUAUCAGGAGGAACACCGGUGGCGAAGGCGGUUCUCUGGGCAUUACCUGACGCUGAGGAGCGAAAGUGUGGGGAGCGAACAGG
Molecule: ribosomal RNA, 253 nt
Filed under: uncultured bacterium
Lineage: Bacteria
Description: partial 16S ribosomal RNA
Rfam family: Bacterial small subunit ribosomal RNA
Source: RNAcentral